RNAcentral lists this long non-coding RNA (2866 nucleotides) under Homo sapiens (human). RNAcentral describes it as "HSALNT0314359". Lineage: Eukaryota; Metazoa; Chordata; Mammalia; Primates; Hominidae. The record is from RNAcentral.
AAAAAAGCCGUCUCCAUGGAAGCGGCCCUUCCGCUCGGAGCCCGGCGGCCUGGAGGGAGACCCGGCGGGGAUGCGAGGAUUCCGCCCCAGCCCCAGAGGACGCGGCGGAGAGCCUGGAGGAGGCGCUUUGAGAGUCGAGGUCUCCCGCCCGCGCGCCUCCCUGGCGCAGACCUCUUUUAACUUUUUGGCGUGGAGUGCGCGUCCUGACGUGCCCCCUGAGCUACAGCUUACUGAGCUUUACUGGCUUCGCCGGACAGCCGUCCCCAGGUGGAGAGACAGCGCGUCGCGCGCUGCCCGGGCCCCGCAGGGCCUGGCGCCUGGGGCCCUUGCGCCGCUUUGGGGCGAGGGGAUCACACCGCGGGCUCCCGGAGCUUAGCGUCUUCCACGCGGCGCUGUGUGUCAUCCACGCAGUGUGCUCUCGCUGCCGUGUUCAGGUCACUGCGAGGGUGAGCCCCGCUUUAUCUACCCCUUCUGCUGUUGAUGGGCACUCGUCUGGGGCUAGAAGGGAUAAGGUUGCUGUGAGCGUUCUCGUGUGUUUUUGGUGCACGCGCACACACAUUUCUCUGGGGUGCAGACCUGUCUAGUAGUGGAACUGCCGUUUCCCAGCACUUUGGAGCAAAGCCCUGUUGCAGUCUGAAGCGGAAAAGGCAGACGGGCCUUCCAUGUUCGUGAUUCCAGCCAGGCACAGAAGGGAAGGACAGGGACAGCAGCCGCGCGGAGGCGAGGAGGGACACUGGGCGCUGCUGUCCCCUCUCAGGGGCAGCCACUCCUCUUGUGGACGCAGGUGUGGUCACCAGAAGGGAAGGACAGCAGAGGACUCUUCAGGGACCUUCCUGGAUCCCCCUGCAAUGGGAGUGGCCUACUUGCUUGACUUGAGGGUGAGACUUGGUCAGCCCUUGACUGUAGGGGGCAGGACCAUGGGCUUCAGUGGGGCAGCACCCAUGACCCACGCCUCUGCUUCCAUUCCCUGCUUACUGCCCGGGCCUCUGGGCAGGGGAGUCUAGUCUCCCUUCCCAGGCUUCCAAUGCCUCGCCCCCUGCUGUGGUAAGGAUUCGCGCUGGUCCCUAUUUAUUAAUCAGGGAACUUGGGGUUCCAGUUUUCUCCCCUUCUCUGCAUCUCAUCCCCUUGAGAGCCCCCUGGAGCAGAGGAUAACGCACGAGGGGACUGGCUGUGUAUAUUUUGAUAACAAUAUCAAAAUACUGUCAAAUACUAAACGGAAAAGAAAUAGGAAAACAUUGAACUUUAUUAAAAUGAACUUCAAAAGACACCAUUAAGAGUAAAAAGAUGACUCACAAAAAAGUUGCCUUUUGUUCAGUAAACGACUCAGGACCAGAAAAUAUGAAGACCCCUACAACAAGAAAAAUAUAGAUAGCUCAGUUAAAAAUUGACAAAAGACUUGAAAAGAUAUUUCACAAAAGGAGAGAUCCAGACAGUCAAUCCACACACGAAAGGGUACUUAGCAUCAGGGAACUGCAAAUAGUGACAUUCGAUUCCAUAUCACAGCCACUGGAUGGCUAAAAUAGCAACGCCAAGUGCUGAUGAGACUGUGGAACAACCAGCUGGGCUCUCAUACCCUGCUGAUGGGAGAGUGGAUUGGAGCAACCACGUGGAAACAUCUAAUGGAGGUUUCAGAGCUGUGGUAGAAACUUCUAGUACUGACAACAGCCAGUACCUCCCCGCUUGGCAGCUGAGACUAUGGGACCAGUUCUGGCCAAUGGAAUGUGAGGGGAAAUGACGGAUGUCAAUUCCAGGCUGAAGCUUUUAGUUGCCAGAGCCAGGUCCUCCAGUCCUACCUUUCCACUGUGGCAGUCCCUCUGAAGUCCCAAGAUCAAGAGCUGACAGCUGAAUCCUUGCAUGGAGAGUCGCCUGGACCUGCAGUGGACUCUGGAUGAGGGAGUAUACACCCCUCUCCUGAGAUGGCAAACAGGAGGUCUGGAUCAAUCCUACAGUGUCGGCAAAUGUCUGGAUUACCCUGCAAGUUCAGACCAGUGAGGAUCCUUCAGCCACUGGGGGAAAGGCUCUGCUGACACAGCAACAGCGAGCAGGGGGCGCCAGCCAGCCAGCUGGCCGUGCAGUGUUCCAGCGGCAGGCGUAGUUUUCUCCCACCUCUCAUGGACAUUGAGUGCACCUUGUGUAUGCUAUGGACAUGCCCAGCCGCUGGAGAUGGGAGGGGAGGGGGUAAGAAGGGAAGCCACUGUGCCGUGACCCUGAGGCCAUUGAGGUGGGGUUUGGUGUCUCACCAAACGGAAGCCACAUUGUUCUGAAUUGCACCUCUGAUGGCUAGGCCAAAUGCUCAUUCUGUUUAACAUCAUUGCUGCAGUCUGUAGCAAAACCCUUAACGUUACAAAGGAAGAGAUAGAGCCACUUCAAACCGUGAAAGGAGAAGAGAUACCACAGUUAAGUCCGCCUGUCUUGGCCAACGGAGUUCAGUCUUUGGGCUUUCCAGCAACAAAAGAUGCCUUCAGUUGCCCCAGGGUUUUACUCCAGUCCCCGGCAACAGCUAGAUCUCCAUGAAGGGAAACAGCCAAUAUUUUUUUUACUUGCAGGAAAGGGAGGCAUGACAGCUCCACAUCUGUGUUCACCCUUGUGGAUCCCAGGUGAGACUCCAGAUGAAAUGGGAGAGUUCUCUGACCCCCUCACAGGACAUGUGACAGGAGUGUGGCUAGUCUGUUCAGCCUCCACCACUGCUGAAACACCUUAUGGGAGGGGGAGCAUGCAGAUGGGCAAGCGCAGGUGCCAGGGCCAGCGCUUUUGGGCUUCAACCCCAUGGUGGCAUCUAGGGGUGUGUGUCUGUGACUCCUGAAGCCCCAGUGUGUGUGCUCCAGUGCUCUUUUAGCUCUGCUGUCUGUCAGGCCUCUGAGCCCAA